Molecule: long non-coding RNA, 8492 nt
Filed under: Populus trichocarpa (black cottonwood)
Lineage: Eukaryota; Viridiplantae; Streptophyta; Magnoliopsida; Malpighiales; Salicaceae
Description: long non-coding RNA (PTRI_LNC003027)
Source: RNAcentral
UAUGGUACUACAUUAUUUUUGUUACUUUUUCACCAUGAUAAAACUUGUCCAACAUGGAUGGAAUUUAUUUAACAAGCCGAAAUAAAACCUAGCAACAACCCUUUGCUCUCACGUACAUAUCAAGUUCAGACUUGGCUCUUUUUAGGUUGUGGUGUGUCAGCGAACUUCCAUGUAAGUUGAUACUGCGGAGAUCUUACUCCAGCCACUUCAUUGAUGGGAACAGCAUCGGAGAUCUCCUUUAAAUCUUCUUUUGUCAGCUUAACUUGCAAUGAUCCAACAUUUUCGUACAGAUUUUUAAUCUUAGUGGUUCCUAGAGAAUAUUUGAAGAAAAGAUUAGCAAUCUACAAUUUGUGGGAUUUGAUACCUUAAUCAAAAUUUUGUAGCUUGAAUCAGAGAACUAAACAUAAACAAACAAAAGCUGACUCACCAGGGAUAGGCACCACAUCAUCCCCUUGAUUGAUAACCCAAGCAAGGGCAAGCUGAGCAGGAGUACAGCCAUGCUUUGCAGCCAGUUUUUCUAUUCGAGAAUAAAACACCUUGUUCUUCUCGAUAUUUUCUUCUGUGAACCUUGGAUGUAAUUUCUAAAACAACGCAAGAAGGCCACAUGUUACCAGCCAUGUUACGUCAAAUAAGCAACAAGACAGAAAUAUUAGCACAAAAUUAAAUUGGGUUAAUGAUGUUCAAGUUUCAGUAGUUUUCUUUAAGCACAAAAGGAAGUAUUAAAAGAUUGAAUUGCAGUAACUUGAUACGGUUUUCUUUUUAUCUCAUUAUGCGAGGGUGUGUGUGGAGCUUCAUACCAGUACAGUCUCCGAAGGCAAACUUUCCAUGACUGCUCUGCCACCAAAAAAACCACGACCGAUAGGGCUAUAUGGAACUACUGCAAUUCCAAGUUCCCUGCACAAGUUAAACAACUAAAAGGUUAAAAAGGCAACAAAUGUAAAAACAAAAAGAUUUAAAUUUUACAAAUGAAUCGAAGAAAAAGAUUAAUAACUUAAUUCGUGAAGACCUUGAUAAGAAGUUUUAAAUUACAGAAAGUGUCCAUUAUAAAUGAUCAACUUGAAAUGAAAAUCCCAUUGAUAUGGAUACCUGCAAAGUGGGAUUAUUUCUUCUUCAAUGUCACGAGACCAAAGUGACCAUUCCAUUUGUACUGCACUAAUGGGAUGGACUGCAUGUGCCCUCUUUAUUGUGUCGGGACUUGCUUCGGAUAAUCCAAUAUACUUAACUUUUCCCUCUUCCACUAACUUCUUAAGCUCUCCCAUCUGCCAACUCAAAGUAAUUGGAUUAGAAAUUAAAUAGUGCACGCAGUUAGUUUGAACUAUUCCGUGGUGAAAGAAAGGAAAAGAACAUACAGUUUCCUCUAUUGGAACGGAAGUGUCGGUACGGUGCUGAUAGUAGAGAUCAAUGUACUCCAGAUCUAGACGCUUCAGGCUAGCAUCGCAACAUGCACGGAUGUAUUCAGGACUGCCAUUGAUUGCACAAUUUUUAAAAUCAGAACCGUUUGGAACAAUGCCAAAUUUUGUAGCCAACUGGAUCUUUUCUCUAGGCAAAUGCUUCAAUGCCUGCAAAAUGCAAGUCUUGGCGAUAAAUAAACAAAGAAAAAUACCACCUGAUGCUAUAUCAGAAAUUCCUCUCAUCCCAAAAGCUCUUUUAGGGGAGGAGAGACACAUGCCAUUUGAAACAAAGGCUCAUUGGCCAACUGUUCAUUAAAUAUAUUAGGCAUGAUCUUCAUAUGUUAAUUGCUUGCUUCAGCGACAUAUUUUUUGUUUUGGGAGUCCAUUGUUGGACAUGCUAGCUUCUCAUUUACAAACACUGUUUCAAUUCUUCAAAUGGUGAUGACCAUAUACCCUUUUAAUCUUUAAGCUUUUCAAGCCAUGACCACUCCUUUGCAGGGAAUUACUUAACCGGUGAUUUGAUGAGUGGGGAAAACCUUUUAUUGCAAGAAGAUAAAAGCACUUCAGUACCCCUGAGUUUGAGAAACUCGAGCAUGUCCAUGAAUUGAUGAAAUGAUAGUGACACAUAGCCCUACAAAUGCAAUAUAUGUACGGCCUUCAACAACUAGAACAUUUAUGAGAAAUAAUAGCAAGAAAAGAAAGUCAUAUCCAUCUCAAGAAUUGCAUCAGUUCCAUGCCAAUAUGACAUCUAAAUAGAAAAACAGAAAGGGACUAGCUUCAUCAAGAGAGUCCAUAUAUUUUCAAUUCUGAUGCUGAGGCAAAUAUAAGGAAAGAAAUAAGGUAUUGAAGAUGGAACUCUGCAGGCAAGAAUUUCACUAUCAUCAAAACUAUAUACCAGCCAACUAGUUUGUGAUUGCGGCUUGGUUGUUAUUAUUAUUAUAAAAAACUAGAUACCAUAUUAUACUGGCCAAUUCUUUUACAUGAAAGCAUAUUAUGAAAGAACCUUAGAAAAAACAUUUCGAAACUUACCUUCCCAACCACGAUUUCAUUAGUGUGAGGUCCAUAAACAUCUGCUGUAUCAAAAAAAGUAAUCCCCUUGCUAUAAGCUUCCUUGAUGAUUGAAAUGACAACCUCUUCAGGGAGGGGGGCAUUGUACAUUCCAGAAAGCCCCAUGCAUCCAAAGCCCAACUUUGAGACCUAAAAGUCGAAAAAUAUCACGCAGAAAAAUCAAGAGACAAUAACACCUUUCCUUUGUUAGCACAUACAAUUUUAUCUCCCUAAAAAAGGGUUUCUUUUAUAGUAACCAAUCAUUCUCCCAUUUUUGCAACAUUUCAAUCAAGAAUCUCUGAGGCGUUGAGGCUAUGAAUAUGAUAAGGGUUAUGCCUCGAGUCCUUGAAUCCCAAAUCUGAUCCCUAAUUUUGCCCUAUUUUGUUUUCAUCAAUAUAUCAAAUCCAUAAAUGAUCUGUCGAUAGAAUGGUGGGUUAAGAAGAGUACACAUGCAAAUGUUGCUUUUAAGUUUACCAAUUGAUCAGUGCACUGAUUCAUAAUGAUUUUUGCCCAUAGUCUUAAUCUUCAUUAUUACUCAUUAGCUCCAACUACAACUAUUAAUUAAUCAUAAGGAUUAAAAACAAACAAGUAUUUAAUUAAUCACAAAGGAGAGGAAUAUCAUAUUUCAUACAAGGCCAUGUAAGUCUUAAAAAUUGUACUUUUACAAGACAUCUAUCUAAUAGAGAAACGGAUAUUCAUAGAGAGAAAGAUUGAAAGGUGAAAAGGGGUUUUACCUCUAAUCCUUGGUUACCCAGUUUCACUCUUGGAAUGAUAACUUUCUGCUCCUCGGCCAUCGUUUUCAAUUGUUCUCCUUUUGUGUUGUUGCUAUGGAAGUGAGGCAGUAACGGCAGAGAGAGUAGGGGAGUGAGUGUGUCAAGAGCUCUCGCCAACUCUUUAUGUAAUAGAGCCGUGGCGAGGUAGAUUGCUAGUAGCUGCUGUCAGGUGACUACAAAAGGCAAAUACUGACGCAUGAUCUUAUGUAUGGAUAUCAACUGACGCAUGAUCAUAUGUCACAUUUUGGACAGCAAUCAAUUCUCCUUUUCAUUGUGGACAACAUUUUAUAUUAAGUAAAAAUCGCUACUAUGAAAUUAUCUAUAUAUCCUUAAAAGGAGAAAAAAAUGUAUUAAAAGUGAGGGUGCUUUGAUCUUUUACGCUUGUUAAUUUGUUAUUAGUUAUUAAGAGAUUAUUUGGUGUGCCUAGUUUUUUUUUUCAAAAAAAUAAUAUUGUUUUAUGUCUAUAAUCAACAAAAUAUAUUGAUUUGAGAUUUUUUUAACUUGUUAUAAACUUUUAGAUUGUAAAUAUAUUUUUUUAACCCAAGUUUAAAAAAUUAUUAAGAUGUUGUAUAAGGAUAUUUUUAGUUUUUUCAUUAAUCAUGUACAAUUAAAGUAUGUUUUUGGCCUUGUAAAAGAUAAAAAAUAAGGUUUGUAUUUAAAGGUGUUUUUGUAUUUUCACAUUGGUUUUUAGAGUUAUUAUUAGGGUCAUAAGAGAUGUUUUGGUAUUUUUCACAUUGUCUUUUUAAUUUUUAAAUAAAAAAAUGGUGGUGCGUACUCAGCACACGUCAGUGAAUAGAUGGCGUCUGUGUUAUUCAGGCAGCGCGUGUAACGUCAUAUGGUGACCAAACUUGACCUUCUGCUAUCUCUUUGGAUGUGCCACCGUAUCUUUUUCCAUAUGGUGUGGCGUGUGAUGGUGUAUGGUGGUCAGAUUAUCAUCAAAGAUCGUUUCUUUUUUUCUUUUCUCUCUCUUACCGGUAAAGUGCACAAUUUUUUUUUUUAAUUUCAAUCCUUAUUCUUUAAUUUCUUGUUCCGUUCUUAUUCCUUUUAUAAAAAUUUUGUGUUUUUUCAAACUAGUCUUUCAAUUACAACUUCUUAUAUGUUUUGUUUUUCAUUUCGGUCUUUAUUCUUUUGAUUCUUAAUUUUUUCCCUUGAUUCUUUUGUUAGAGUUUUUUUAGCUUUCAAUUUCAUCAUUCAAUCAGAAUUUUUGUUGCUUUAUUUUUUUCAAUUUGACUCUCGUUCUUUUGAUUUAUUUUUUCUUUUAUUAAAGUAUUUUUCAUUUCAAUUUAACCCUCCAAUUAAAAAUCUUUGUUUGCCCUGAUUAUUAUUUUUUUAUUUUCAUCCUCAUUUUUUAUAUCCUUUUAUAUGAUUGAUUUUUUUCCAUAGUUUCAUCCUUCGAUAUAUGAUUUAUUUAUGAUUCAUCUUCAUGUGAUCUUAUAGUUUUGCAUUAGUUUUUUUUUUAAAUAUUAGUUUUGUGAUUUUAUUUAAUUUCUUUUCUAUGAGUUUAUCUCGGUCUCAUUACCUAGGUCUUGGGUUUUACAUGCCUUUUUAUAAUAUAAAUUUUUUUUAUAAUUGUUUUGUUUAUGUUUGAUUUUUCAAAACGUUAUUCUAAUUCAUCUAUAAUUUUUUUUGUUAUAUACAAAUGAACUUUAUUUUUCAAAAUAAUUUUUUUUUAAAUAAUAUUUCUUAUGCGUUCGACUUUGCAUAAAUAUUUUUUAGGGUAUAGGUUUAUUCAAUCAGUUUUAUUUGUGUUUAUCUUUGAGGUUACAUAUUUUUAUGGUGUGAAUUUAUCUUCUAUUAAUUUACAUAAAUAAGUUCAGUGAACAUAGUGGGACAAACGUCUCAUUUUGUGUGAUUGAAUAUCUUGAUCUACAUUCAUCUCUCAUUUUCUUUUAUUUCUCUUUUGGUUAUUGCUUAUAAUUUUUUUUUAUGUUUCUUUGUAUAGAUGAUUAUCGAUUUAUUUAAUUAGAUAUUUUUAUAAACUUUUUAAUUUAUACUUUGAUCUUUUUUAUGUGAAAAAACACAUCGAAGCACAAAUGAGAAAUUUACUUUUAUGAACAGUAAAAAGUAAAUUCCAUGUCAAAAUUUACAACCUAGAUGACAUGUUUUAGAAAAAAAAUCAAAUUGGCAAAAAGAAAAGGUCCACUUAAAAAUAAUUCAAAACAAGAAUCUAAACAGAACCAAACCCUAAGAAAAUAAUUAACAAUGAAUUCCUUCUAAUUAUUAAACUAGCAAAGACAAAGACUCGAACUUUUUAGCUUUUCUUUCUUUAAAGAUAAAGAAAAAAAAACUGAACUAAAAGUCAAGUAAAGAUUAAAAAAUUCAUCAAUGCUCACAGCACAAUUCUAUGAAAUAUAAUAAAUUAAUAAUACAUAAACAUACACGCCAAGCCUUACAUUGUUUUUUUUUCUUUUUUUAUUAACACAAAACGUAACGUAUACCUCAACUUGGGUAAAAAGAGCCUGUUGGCCAUUUUUUUUUAAGCUGUAGUGUUCUUUUGCGAAACGUUUCUUUUUUUUUUUUUAUUAUCGUGGGUGUUCGGGCCAGUUUGCGCGCACCUCGACUAAUCCCACGGGCCCUGAAGUUAACGACCAUGUAAGCCUCCAGUGGCCAUCAUAUGAGCGUCCACAGGGUUCGAACCUGAGACCUAAGAGAGAGCAAACCCCUUAGUCCCAAGCUCUUACCACUGGGCCACCACCUAGAUGGUUUUUUGCGAAACGUUUCUUGUCAGUGGAGGUGGUGGGUGAGUUGGGAUGGAGCUCAGGGGACCAUUUUGGGUAUACAAAACUCAAAAUGACAUCAUGGUUGGUGGUUUGGUCUCAACUUUGUAGAAAGGAUUGACUGAUAUUUGACUAUGGAAGGACAGAGACAAAAGAAAAACAAUAGCUUUUGCACAAGCCGGGAAUCGAACCCGGGUCUGUACCGUGGCAGGGUACUAUUCUACCACUAGACCACUGGUGCCUUGUUGACAUACUGGCGAAGAACUUAUAAAUUUAUUAUUUAAUACGAUACUUGCUAAAAUUAAAAUUCUAGUAUAGUUUCCUAAAAUGUGUUAGAUUAAUUUAUGAAACCAUUUGUUUUUGUGCAUGAAAAACUUUGUUUAGAUGCAUUUUAAAAAUAUAUUUGAUUUUAAAAAUAUUAAAUUGAUAUUUUUUAAUAUUUUUUUAUGUUUUGACAUGCUAAUGUAAAAAUACAAUAUUAUUUUAAUAUAUUUUCAAAUAAAAAAUAUUUUUAAAAAUUAGUAUGCAUUACAAUAUCAAACAUACACUUAAUUUUAUUGAGUGAAAUUGUAGAAGAUUAGUAAGUGUUUAUUCUUUCAUUAAAUCUAAAUCAAUGAAUUCAAAUUGAAUGAUCAUUAUUUAGUAUAUGAUAUAAAUGAAAACAAUUUAACUAAUUAAUAUUUUGUUUCUUUUAUUUAAUUUAAAUAAUUGAAUUUAAAAUUAAUGAUAAAAAUUAGGAUAUAAAUUUUUAUUUUCUUAGCCAUAUUGUUAGUUACGUUGUGGUAAGUUUGUUGCCAUUUAGAAGUAAACUAACUAUUUGACCCGUAUUUUGCUGUGGGCUGAUUAUUUUUUUUCAAUAAAAAAAUUGAAUAUACAGGCAUUUGCAACACAUUGUUUUUACAUAAAUAGUAUCAAGAAUAUGUUAAAAAACUUAUGUAUGCAUUUAAUUAAAUAAAUCAAGAACCAUCUAUAUUAAUAAAUAAAACAAUUAUUAAUAAUAAAUGAAUAUAUAUUUGGAAAAGUCAAGAGGUGGAUGCAAAUCAAGAUAUUUGAUCUCGUAACACAGUCCAUUCACCUGAUUAUGUUCAAUAACUCUAUUUAUUAAAAUUAAUUAUUUUUAUUUAAUAGAAUAAUAAUAAAAAUAGAUACACAUAUAAAAUUGAUUGAAUAAAAUUAAAGGAAAAACAAUAUUUCACAAGGUUGCACUUAUUACAAAUACUAUCCAAAAAUAAAUAUUUUUCAUCUUUUAAAAUAAAUUUCAAUUAUAUAAAACAUAAAAACAAUUAUAAAUGAAUUAGAAUAAUCUUUUUAAAAAUUAAAUAUAUAUAAGAAUAAUUAAAAAACAACUACUAUUAAAAAAAAUAUAUAUAUAUAUACUAAAAACAAAGAAAUUAGAGAAAGGGGAAUUAAUUUCAAUAUAAAUUAAGAAAUUAUAUAAAAAAACACAUUUAACAAAAACCAUGAUUUUUUAAAAGGAAUUUUUUUUUAAAAAGAGAAAAAGUACAUGUUAGCGUUUGGUUUAUUUAAAAAAACCUGCGCGAAUGUUUUUUUAUUUAAAAAACUCAAUUUAGAUGGACGACAAAUAUUUUCUGAAAAAAUAAUUAUAAACAAUGUGUUACCUGAUAUUUCUUAGAUUCUGGCCACUAUACUGGGCAGAAAAAAAGAAUCUAUAUUUGUUUUUACCAAAACAAUCCAUUUUCAAUUUAAUUUUGACCCUAAACACCUUGAAAAACCUAUAAAUAGAUUUAAAAAACCAAAAAAAUAACAUGAAAACUUGAAAAUCAACUAAAACAAAAACUCCUCUAGAGUUUAAAUCGAGUUUUUAAGGGUAUUUCAAGGUGAAAAAACAUUUAAGUUGAACUCCCUCAUCAAAUAAAAUAUUUUAACACUAAGAUGAACCAUUUUGUUGAUCAAAAUUGGUAUCAACUUUGAUUUUUUCUUUCUAUCACUAAAAACCAACAUUUUUUCUCUUUUCUCUCAAACUAGAAAUUAAAAUUAGAAAUUAAAAUGUAAAAAAAAUAAAUUUUGUACCAAAAUUUAAUUGAAAGACUAUUGAGGGAUUAAAUAAAUAUAAUUUAAAAAGUUUGAAAACUAAACUUAACAUUUUGUGAUUAUUUUGAAAGCAUCAUUUAUUUGUAGUGUUUUUUUUCACUUUGAUCCAUCAUCUUCCAAUUUUGUUUUUUAUCAACAAAUUUAAUUCAAUUAUUAUUUAAUUGUGCCAAAAAAAGAUAUAAUUGUACAAAAUAAAAGUUCGAGGACAAAAAUACACUAGGGUAUGGUACUACAUUAUUUUUGUUACUUUUUCACCAUGAUAAAACUUGUCCACGAUGGAAUUUAUUUAACAAGCCGAAAUAAAACCUAGCAACAACCCUUUGCUCUCACGUACAUAUCAAGUUCAGACUUGGCUAUUUUUAGGUUGUGGUGUGUCAGCGAACUUCCAUGUAAGUUGAUACUGCGGAGAUCUUACUCCAGCCACUUCAUUGAUGGGAACAGCAUCGGAGAUUUCCUUUAAAUCUUCUUUUGUCAGCUUAACUUGCAAUGAUCCAACAUUGUCGUACAGAUUU